GCGUCGGCCUGUGGGCUCCCC
Molecule: non-coding RNA, 21 nt
Filed under: Arabidopsis thaliana (thale cress)
Lineage: Eukaryota; Viridiplantae; Streptophyta; Magnoliopsida; Brassicales; Brassicaceae
Source: RNAcentral